GGGAGCUAAAGUGAUUAUAUACCCCUGUAGUCCUGGCAGUAAAAGUUUCACGCUUGGUGUGCGGGGAAUCGACCCCCUGAGUGCCGGAGCUAACGAGUUAAGCGUGCCGCCUGGGGAGAACGGUCGCAAGAUUAAAACUCAAAGAAAUUGACGGGGCCAGCUGAAGGCGGGCGAGACCGUGG
Molecule: ribosomal RNA, 182 nt
Filed under: Oscillospiraceae bacterium
Lineage: Bacteria; Bacillati; Bacillota; Clostridia; Eubacteriales; Oscillospiraceae
Description: partial 16S ribosomal RNA
Rfam family: Bacterial small subunit ribosomal RNA
Source: RNAcentral